RNAcentral lists this ribosomal RNA (975 nucleotides) under Triticum aestivum (bread wheat). RNAcentral's name for it is "partial small subunit ribosomal RNA". Lineage: Eukaryota; Viridiplantae; Streptophyta; Magnoliopsida; Poales; Poaceae. The record is from RNAcentral.
AUGGCCGCUCUCUCAUCACCUUCCCGUAUUCUCAUCUUUAUACUGGUACUACUACUCUCCACCGUCUCCGCUGCUGCUGCUUCUUCUUCUUCUUCUUCUUCCCGUCUGACCAGCGGCAAUGGCAGUGACACCGAUCUUGCCGCGCUGCUGGCUUUCAAAGCCCAGCUCGCCGACCCUCUCCGCAUCCUUGCCGGCAACUGGACCACCGGCACUCCUUUCUGUCGUUGGGUUGGCAUCUCGUGCAGCCGACAUAGGCAACGUGUCACUGCUGUAUCGUUGCCGCACGCACCUCUCGUUGGAUCCGUGGCACCUCAUGUCGGUAACCUCUCUUUCCUUUCUGUUCUCAACCUCACUCUCACCAACCUCACAGGCCCAAUUCCACCCGAACUUGGCAGGCUACAUCGUCUUACAUAUCUUGGUCUUGCAAGAAAUAGCCUGUCAAACACCAUACCUACUACCCUAGGGAACCUCACAAGGCUCAAGUCCCUUGACCUAGGUUUCAACCAACUCUCAGGCCAGAUUCCCGUUGAGAUGCUGCUACGUAUGCACAACCUUAUGGUAAUUAAUUUGUUCAGCAAUGAUCUGAGUGGCCAAAUACCACCACAUUUGUUCAACAACACGCCUUUCUUGAAGGUCAUCAGUUUUGGAAAUAACAGCCUGGGUCCUAUACCACACGUCGUUGCACGAUUAUCCAUGCUUGAGAUAUUGGACAUGGAGCGUAAUCAACUCUCUGGCCUAGUACCGCAAGCCAUAUACAACAUGUCCAGGCUACAAAUCAUGGCAUUUGCAUAUAACGGUAACCUAGCUGGAAUAUUUCCGAGCAAUCAAAGUUUUAACCUCCCACUGUUGCGCUUUAUUUCACUAUAUAGAAACAAUUUCGCCGGUCAGUUUCCAUCAGCGCUUGAAUCAUGCCGGUACCUAGAGGUGCUUGAUUUGGGUGACAAUUUUUUGUGGACGUUGUGCCAAUAUGGUUAG